AAAGUAACUAACUGUAAGUUGCUCUGGAUAAGAGCGUCUGCUAAAUGACUAAAA
This is a non-coding RNA of Salmo salar (Atlantic salmon), 54 nucleotides long. The record is from Rfam. NCBI's taxonomy places the organism in Eukaryota, Metazoa, Chordata, Actinopteri, Salmoniformes, Salmonidae.